This 87-nucleotide small RNA is filed under the name Arabidopsis thaliana (thale cress). RNAcentral describes it as "ATSL191550". Lineage: Eukaryota; Viridiplantae; Streptophyta; Magnoliopsida; Brassicales; Brassicaceae. The record is from RNAcentral.
AAUCUUUGUCAGACGUAUUACAAUAAUAUUAGAUUUUAACCCGCGGUAUACCGCAGGACGAUUUUAAAAGUAAUAUAUAUUAAAUUU